CUGUAAACUAACCUGCAUGCUAAAAGUGCAAUAAGUCGCUUCAGAAGGUGUUUUCUUGAGGAUAUAACGUCUUCACCGUUUCCUCGACUUCUCUGAAUUGUUUUUAGGAAGCUGAGCUGAAAGUUGAAGAUGGACAUUUGCAGUUUUACCCACUGUUGAGGAGAUUCUCCACUGGGAUGCCAGGACCACUGCUUCCCUUCAACAAGGAACGAAGAAGGUGUACAGGGUCUAUAGUUCCCCCUGCAUGCGCCGCGUUUCAAACAUCAACAUCUAUACGUGCUGAUGAUGACCUCUGAUGACUUCCAUUGGCCUCUCGGCAAGUCGGAUGACACUCCCUGCAGUGAUUAAUGUACACAUCAACCGGCCAGGCAUUAACCCCCAAAGGUCCUCUCAAUGACACACCUCAGCGCUCUGUGGCUUUCUGCGCACAGAAACACACACUGAAGACCCCGGCGAGGCUUCUCAUGCUCUGGCUAAGAAGCAUUGAAAACGCCGACAUCUUCACCAGGGAAGUCCAGUAAACCAGCACUCUGCAACCUUGGGAAGAGAUCACUGGAAAGAGUGAAACAAUGGGAAUGGCUGGGAAUCAGAUGCAUCUCAACUGUGGAGUUCUCCAAAGAAAACACAGCCUUGUAUUGUCUCACUUACCUCAUCUCACUCUGUCAGACUUUUGUUAGCUGCUAAAACACAAUUCAAGAUGGAAAAUCAAUUAUUCGUGAUUAAUAUUUUUGGUCGUUAUCCAGGAAGUUUGAAGGUUAUGAUGAUGUGACUUUGAAAACAAAGGGUUUUUUUUAAUGUGUAAGCAUUCAAGUUAGCAUUUUCCUGAAAAAUGUUUCCUCCUGUGUCGCCCUUACACUCAAUGCAUCAUCAUUCCCUUGAAGAAUAUCUUUUAGACUAUGCUUUUGACUCCCAGAGAGCCACAGCCAGUGCCCAAAUGCCUCACCUCAAAGAAUCAGAUGUUAAGCAUUAAUUCUUAGGUUUGACGUUGAAUUAGUGGCUCCUUUUUAUUUCCCUGGGACAAGUUCUGAGGUAGCACCAGAUGUGGCUGUCUUUAAAGUGCUCAUAAGUCACACGGGUGUCUGCUCUUGUUGGCUUUCUCAGAUCUCAGGGUAAUUCUCAAUAGCAUCUGGCUAAUUCUAAUGAAAAUAGCUCUAUCAUCUGAAGGAGAGGAGACAUAUGAAAGGAUCCUCUGCCCCCUUUUGGUAGCAUUCAGAAGUGCAGCCCAUAACUGAAUGACUUACACCUCACAUAGCAUCAACACUCAGCCCUUUUUAACUUUUCACACAUUCCCUUUGAAGACACAUUCAGUCGCAUUCCCAAGCUACACUCAACGCUGCUGAUGUGCAAAGUGUUUGAUCACCAAAAUAUAAUUUAAAUGUCAAAGUAGAUAUCAAAGGCAGUACGUAGUUACACCAGAUUUAUACCAUUUUAAUGACUUACUGUACAAUAUUACUCGGAUAUAACUUGCCAUAUUAACCGUGUAAGUGUUACUUUAACAAAUACAAGGGCCUAAACGAACACAUUACAAACAAAACUAAUGGAGCACAGGAAUGCUUUUCUUUUUAGAGUAAGGGUUAUUCUGUGAAAAGCAAUACGAAUAAAAAACUAGAUAUUAAGUGUUAACGGUGUGGCCACCGUGACUGAUAAGAUAAACCGUUAAACCUGAAAGUCAAACUUUCUCAACACGAAAGCAAAAACACCACAAAAUAACCAGAAUGCUUAGCAACAACAUUGAAAGAAAAAAAAAACCUUCAAGGAUUAUUACUUUAACCUUGUGGACCUGAUUUCGUCAAGGAAAGCAAUCCAUAGGUUUCUAGAACAAAGUGAAAAAUGGAAGAAAAUGCACUCCGAUUCCAAAUUCAUUCUAGCACCAAACAAAUCCAAAUGUAUAGACUCAAAGCUUCAUAACUCACACUGGAUUUGGACCCUAUAUUGUCAGUGAGCAUGGGUUAGAAAAGUCCUUGUCAUCUUUGAAGCUUAAUAAUUAAGUCACCUUAAUACAAAGUUAAGAUCUAAGCUUACAAGUCAAAGCUCCUUAUCCAUUUAAUACCUUUCAAAUACUUCAAACAGUGGGAUGAGUGUACUCUUCAAGUCACCCAGAAUGCCUUUUCCAGGAGCAAAUCACAGCCUCUCUCCGUCUUUUCUUCACUGAAUGGGGACCCCUGAAAUAGUGACAGAGAAGUGCUUGAAUUUUAUAGCGUUAUAAAAGGAGUAAUCACUGUGGCGUUUGUCACAAUGAUUAGGCCCACACUUUGGUUAGGCCUUGUUAUAAUUUCCAGACCCCUGGUAGAGAGCAGCUCUGUAUUACACCAAUUAGAGCGGUGAGUCAUAUGUCACUGGCCACCGAGGAAUUCAGCCUCCUCCAAUUUGUGCAGUAAAUUUAACUCUCGCUGUUACCCUGUCAAGGUCUGUAGUCGUUCUGCUGCUGACAGACAGCUGAAACUUAUUUGUCAAGGCGAUGCUGUAGAGUGUGUGUGAGGAGGUAAAAGGUCAGGGUUUAAUCUGAAUUAAGACACAAUUAUAUUCAUUCACCUCCUAUAAUCGCUUUCCCCCCAUUUUGUGUACCAUCUUAGAAUCUUCUAAUACAAUAAAGGUACUUAAAGGGUUUUGUUCACCUCUCCAAAAACAACAGAGUAAAAUAACAAACAAGACCACUUAUUUGUUAUAUUUGUUACGAGCCAAGCUCUCUCACAGCAGUGUCAGUGAAUAGGCCCUCCCCCAAAGGCGUAAUUAGAUUAAUGGUAGAGAUGGAGAGGACCUAAUGACCCUAUCCCCUCGCAUCACUGGAUAGCGGAAAUAUGUAUAGGCAUGAAAAAGUGCAUCAGCACUCGCCUGCUUCCUCCUCCACUCAUCUCCGCGCCCCAGACAAGUCAAUGGUCCUUGAGAACGCUCGGAGAUACAUUACAUGAAGCCCACGGCUGAGCCAUCCCCAUCUGCAUCACCCUGGCAUUUCGUUGGUCUGCCCCCCGUGUCACAAGAGGGAUGGAACAGCUUAAUAUGGGCUGUGUGGGUGGGUGUCAUUUUAUUCUUAACGACAGGCAAGCAAAUGAGUGUCUUACUGAGAUAAGGGCUAAAUGGGAACAGGGAAGUAUGCGAGAUAAUGAAAGUUAAAUGGAGAGAUUUAUGGGGUGAAAUAACCGCACUUAUAAUGUCCUCCUAUGUGUAUCAUGGUGAUUAUGAAACAGUUUUAUGUAUUCAUGAUGUAAAGUCUAUGUUCUGUGAAUCGCAGCAUGUGGACAGGACAGAACACACAGGUGUCAUAACCUGCACUGCUUCUAAAUGUUGUUACAUACAACUUAUUCAUUCAUGUUUCCUGGGUUAUUCUGUUACUCACCCCUCCUCUUGUUUCAGAUCCCUUCACUUCCUGCAAGGUUUGAUCCAGGUCUGCCCUGAUUAAUUGUUAAACUGUCCCUCAUUAGUCAUGAAGUCACUUCACCAUUUCACCUUAUCAGUCAUUCCUGCCAAUCCUCCUUUUUUGCCUUGGGACUUUGUUUGUUUAUUCCAUCAAUAAAUCAUUAAACUCUUCCUGCUGCCUCCUUUUCUUUUAACCUGUGUUUGGGUUUCAACCGUGCAUCUG
This is a long non-coding RNA of Eleginops maclovinus (Patagonian blennie), 3577 nucleotides long. RefSeq lists it as uncharacterized. The transcript has 3 exons. The record is from RefSeq and is a predicted model, not a curated record. Lineage: Eukaryota; Metazoa; Chordata; Actinopteri; Perciformes; Eleginopidae.